UACCUGAUUCAGCGGCGGACGGGUGAGUAAUGCCUAGGAAUCUGCCCGAUAGUGGGGGACAACGUUUCGAAAGGAACGCUAAUACCGCAUACGUCCUACGGGAGAAAGUGGGGGAUCUUCGGACCUCACGCUAUCGGAUGAGCCUAGGUCGGAUUAGCUAGUUGGUGAGGUAAUGGCUCACCAAGGCGACGAUCCGUAACUGGUCUGAGAGGAUGAUCAGUCACACUGGAACUGAGACACGGUCCAGACUCCUACGGGAGGCAGCAGUGGGGAAUAUUGGACAAUGGGCGAAAGCCUGAUCCAGCCAUGCCGCGUGUGUGAAGAAGGUCUUCGGAUUGUAAAGCACUUUAAGUUGGGAGGAAGGGCAGUAAGCUAAUACCUUGCUGUUUUGACGUUACCAACAGAAUAAGCACCGGCUAACUCUGUGCCAGCAGCCGCGGUAAUACAGAGGGUGCAAGCGUUAAUCGGAAUUACUGGGCGUAAAGCGCGCGUAGGUGGUUCAGCAAGUUGGAUGUGAAAUCCCCGGGCUCAACCUGGGAACUGCAUCCAAAACUACUGAGCUAGAGUACGGUAGAGGGUGGUGGAAUUCCCUGUGUAGCG
RNAcentral lists this ribosomal RNA (600 nucleotides) under uncultured bacterium. RNAcentral describes it as "bacterial SSU rRNA". It matches the Rfam family "Bacterial small subunit ribosomal RNA", at positions 84 to 680 of the family's 1533-position model. The record is from RNAcentral.